GGGAGUGUUGGGUGCUGCGACAGACCUUGGGAUCCUCAGAGGCUGAGGAGGCCUUCUCUAGCCAAGGCCGGUCGAAACCACCUUGUUUGUGAUAGCCACACGAAUAACGGAGCUUUACAAGAUCCCUUAUACCCAAAAUAGAGGUGGCAGCAUUGGCUAGCAUCUCUGCGCCCCUUCGCCCUGCAUUCCGGCCUCUUCCUUUAGCCUCGGCGCGGCUUGCGUUCCGCGUGUACCAAGGGAAGUGGCGGCCGACCUGAGCGCGCUUUGGCG
RNAcentral lists this long non-coding RNA (270 nucleotides) under Homo sapiens (human). Its description in RNAcentral is "LHRI_LNC883.1". Lineage: Eukaryota; Metazoa; Chordata; Mammalia; Primates; Hominidae. The record is from RNAcentral.